GACGAACGCUGGCGGCGUGCUUAACACAUGCAAGUCGAACGGAAAGGCCCUGCGUUUGUGGGGUGCUCGAGUGGCGAACGGGUGAGUAACACGUGAGUAACCCGUCCUUGUCUUUGGGAUAACUUCAGGAAACUGGGGCUAAUACCGGAUAGGAGCUCCUGCUGCAUGGUGGGGGUUGGAAAGUUUCGGCGGUUGGGGAUGGACUCGCGGCUUAUCAGCUUGUUGGUGAGGUAGUGGCGUACCAAGGCUUUGACGGGUAGCCGGCCUGAGAGGGUGACCGGCCACAUUGGGACUGCGAGACGGCCCAGACUCCUACGGGAGGCAGCAGUCGGGAAUAUUGCACAAUGGGCGGAAGCCUGAUGCAGCAACGCCGGGUGCGGGAUGACGGCCUUCGGGUUGUAAACCGCUUUCGCCUGUGACGAAGCGUGAGUGACGGUAAUGGGUAAAGAAGCACCGGCUAACUACGUG
RNAcentral lists this ribosomal RNA (468 nucleotides) under uncultured bacterium. Its description in RNAcentral is "partial 16S ribosomal RNA". It matches the Rfam family "Bacterial small subunit ribosomal RNA", at positions 28 to 507 of the family's 1533-position model. The record is from RNAcentral.